Molecule: ribosomal RNA, 89 nt
Filed under: Oligonychus punicae
Lineage: Eukaryota; Metazoa; Arthropoda; Arachnida; Trombidiformes; Tetranychidae
Description: partial 18S ribosomal RNA
Source: RNAcentral
CUUUUAUUUCCUUAUUUUUUUUGGGGGAGGUUUUAGUGUAACAAGGUUUCCGUAGGUGAACCUGCGGAAGGAUCAUUAACAAAAACCCA